Oncorhynchus nerka (sockeye salmon) is the source of this 483-nucleotide long non-coding RNA. RefSeq lists it as uncharacterized. The transcript has 4 exons. The record is from RefSeq and is a predicted model, not a curated record. Lineage: Eukaryota; Metazoa; Chordata; Actinopteri; Salmoniformes; Salmonidae.
UCUUUCUCUCUCCUCUUUCUCUCUCCUCUUUCUCCAGGUGUUCCAUUACUUCCGGUCUGUUCUAGACCUGGUUCAGUUGGUGACGGUGGCAGAUAUUCCCAGCUUCCUGCGCUCCAGCACAGAGUUUCACCUAGAACUAUCCUCCAAAUCACUGAGAGAUAAACGGCUCCUUGAUCAGUUCAGAUCACUGUCUGGAAAGGUAGGGGCACUGUUCUCUCUAUCCUGUACGGUCAGCUCCAUGGCUCUACCCCUGCCUCUCAGCUCAGCUCCCAGAAGUGGAAGGCCUUCAUGGCUAAGAGGCCCAAGACCCUGCCUGUUCCAUAUGUGGAGGUGAAGGGUGAGAGAGGACACUACUUCCUGUUGGUCCAGGGGUCAGAGGGCGGAGGCUGCAAGGCCCGCAUGAUACACUCAGCCAAUCAGAUCAAUGGAGCCGCUGCCAUGGCAACCGUCAAUGGGCUUCUGAAAGAGAAUUCUGUGUCGUCU